Non-coding RNA from Oncorhynchus mykiss (rainbow trout), 1471 nucleotides. The record is from RefSeq and is a predicted model, not a curated record. Lineage: Eukaryota; Metazoa; Chordata; Actinopteri; Salmoniformes; Salmonidae.
UGUCAAUAACGCGAUAUCACGUUGAAAUAAAUUGCGCGAGAGAGGGAAAUUAAGGUUCCGGGUCCUGCUUAAACGAGCACCGCAAAAAAAAAUAAAUAAAUUGGGAAUAAGGUGUAUAUCACUGGUUAGAGGACAAUUUGUAGAAUACCGCUAGAGACAUUUUGAUUCAAGUGGGUUGCUAUCUGGGUUGUCCAUUGAUCGUUGAGAUACAGCUAUGGUCUGCAUUCCCUGCAUCGUCAUUCCCAUUCUCUUGUGGGUGUAUAAGAGGUUCCUUGAACCCAUCAUCUACCCCUUCAUGGGUCCAAUUAUAAGCCGAUUUUGGCCAACAAAAAAAGCUGUCCAGGAGAGUGUCACAGGAACGGGUGAUAUGAAAGCCAGUGAAAAGAGCAAUGGAUGCCCAGUGGUGAGCAAUGGAGCAUGCAAGACCGAAGUCAAUGGCUUGGUUGCUAAUGGGGCAGGUGCAAAUGGUUCAGCUACUGCAGCCUUUGACAAGAAGACUGACUGACAUUUCACUUCACACCUUAAGUUAUAUUUAUCACUGUGAAAGUGUUUUAAUACAAUAUGGAGAAAAACACUAAGUUAAUCAUUAUUUUAUUUAGUUGAGUAAUGUUGAAUCGUUUAAUGCUUGAUUUAACAUAGCAACACAAUUGUCAUUUUCCAUAAUGCUCAUUACAAUUGCUUUGAGAGAUUGAUUAAAGAUUGCAUUAUAAUUUCAGAAAUUGUCCAUAAUAUAUUUGCAGGAAUAGUGACAUUUUUGUGUUUCACUGUGAGAUUGGUAGUGAUAUUCACCUAUUCAUUCCUCCCACUGGAGCAGCAUCUGUUGUCAAAAUGUGAAAGCUGUUCUGUCUGUGGCUGUGUUAUCUAGUGGUUUCCUGGUUGCUAAAAUUCUACACUGUUCACUCAAUUUCAAUUUAUGUCAGAAAACAAGCACUGAAUGGUGUAGGGAAUCAUUGUACGAUCUAAAUCACUGUGAAUGAUCUUUUCGAUAACAAUAAAUAUUGUCGUUAUCGCUGUUUGAAGCUGGUGGACCAUAACUAAAAGUAACUUUUGGUGCUAGUGGACCAAAACCUAUGGUCCAAAGCCACAAAGUCAGAACAUUUUGACAGCAGAUGACUGUCUGGCGGGAGAAAUCAAUAGGCGAAUAACACAAGAUGGGAGGGUAAGUAAUACUAUGGAACACUAUCAUUCCACUAUUAUUGGCAAAUAUAUUAUUGACAUUUUCUGAAAUUACAAUGGAUUUUUUUUUUUCAAUCCUAUGUGUAGCACCUUUAAUAAAUUAAUAGUGCCUUUGGUUUAUCAAGCUUGAAUCGCUGAUGUGUUUAUAACAUACAAUACCUAGUUCUGUAUAGUAUUUAGUAUACAUUUUAUCAUUCUGAAAUAAAUUAUCAACAAUUUAAAAAUUGACAUCUUUCCUGUUUUAAAACAUUUUUAUUUUACUUUGUGCAAUGUAGAAAUAAAGCUAUAUGGAUUA